UUUCCGUAGGUGAACCUGCGGAAGGAUCAUUAAAGUUAUAGUCCCCCGGCCCUCUGGGCUGGGGUCUUUUAUACCACCCUUUGUUUAUUACACCUUUGUUGCUUUGGCAGGCCUGCCCUCGGGCUGCUGGCUCCGGCCGGCUCGCGUCUGCCAGAGGACCUAAACUCUGUUUGUAUAUGAAGUCUGAGUACUAUAUAAUAGUUAAAACUUCCAACAACGGAUCUCUUGGUUCUG
This 234-nucleotide unclassified non-coding RNA is filed under the name plant metagenome. RNAcentral's name for it is "partial contains small subunit ribosomal RNA, internal transcribed spacer 1, and 5.8S ribosomal RNA". The record is from RNAcentral.